GUUGGGAUUCAGGGUUGCUAAGUGUGCCCUCUGUUUUAUAGGUGUUGAUUUUUGGUAACUAUGGUGGUGUGGGGCUUUGUUGUCUUGCGUGGUGUAUGGUAUCUCGUCUCCUCCGCCGAAGAAAAUGAGUUCCUGGAAUAGAGACUCAAAUCUCAGGAUUAAGUAGAGAAUCUUGAAUCGGUCUCCACCUACGUCCAUCUCUUCAGAUCUAGGUUUCUGAAG
This 222-nucleotide long non-coding RNA is filed under the name Brassica napus (rape). RNAcentral's name for it is "long non-coding RNA (BNAP_LNC009790)". Lineage: Eukaryota; Viridiplantae; Streptophyta; Magnoliopsida; Brassicales; Brassicaceae. The record is from RNAcentral.